Anopheles bellator is the source of this 7689-nucleotide RNA transcript. It is a transcript of the gene named clathrin heavy chain, with no coding region annotated. The record is from RefSeq and is a predicted model, not a curated record. The transcript is spliced from 7 exons. NCBI's taxonomy places the organism in Eukaryota, Metazoa, Arthropoda, Insecta, Diptera, Culicidae.
AGAGACCGUUCCGUGUGUGAUAGAAAGGCAGUGAAACUGUGAAACCUCUUUAACGAUACAGUACGUAAAUUCACAAAAAAUAAUACAAAAGUUAACGUGCGGUGUGUGUCCUCUUGUGUGCGUGUGUUGGAGCGUUUGUCCAUUAUCGAAGCCGUUGAAAUAAUACGUAGAGCAUAAGCAGCCGGAAAAAUGUCGCAACAAUUACCCAUACGUUUUCAGGAGCAUUUACAGCUCACCAACAUCAACAUCAACCCGAGCUCGAUCUCCUUCACCAACCUAACGAUGGAGUCGGACAAGUUUAUCUGCGUGCGCGAGAAGGUGGGUGAAACGGCGCAGGUGGUGAUCAUCGACAUGAACGAUGCACAGAAUCCGAUCCGGCGACCGAUCAGCGCCGACUCGGCGAUCAUGAACCCGGCCAGCAAGGUGAUCGCACUGAAGGCGCAGAAGACGCUGCAGAUCUUCAACAUCGAGAUGAAAUCGAAGAUGAAGGCGCACACGAUGACCGAGGAGGUGGUGUUCUGGAAGUGGAUCACGCUCAACACGCUGUCUCUGGUGACGGAGACAUACGUGUACCACUGGUCCAUGGAGGGCGACUCGACGCCGAUCAAGAUGUUCGAGCGACACUCGUCGCUGAACGGGUGCCAAAUCAUCAACUAUCGCACCGAUCCGAAGCAAGCUUGGUUGCUGCUAGUUGGUAUUUCGGCGCAGCAGAAUCGUGUGAUCGGCGCUAUGCAGCUGUACUCGGUCGAGCGCAAGGUUUCGCAGGCGAUCGAGGGUCACGCGGCCUCGUUCGCGACGUUCAAGAUGGAGGAGAACAAGGAACUGUCGACACUGUUCUGCUUUGCGGUGCGCUCGCAAGCCGCAGCCAAGCUGCACAUCAUCGAGGUGGGAACGCCGCCGGCCGGGAACGUGGCGUUCACUAAGAAGGCAGUCGAUGUGUUUUUCCCUCCGGAAGCGCAGAGCGACUUUCCGGUUGCGAUGCAGGUGUCGCCGCGGUACGACGUGAUCUAUCUGAUCACCAAGUACGGUUACAUCCACAUGUACGACAUCGAGACGGCCACCUGCAUCUACAUGAACCGCAUCUCGGCCGACACGAUCUUCGUGACGGCACCGCACGAAUCGAGCGGUGGUAUUAUUGGUGUGAAUCGCAAGGGCCAAGUGCUGUCGGUGACGGUGGACGAGGAGCAGAUUAUACCGUACAUCAACACGGUGCUCCAGAAUCCCGACCUUGCGCUGCGUAUGGCCGUGCGCAACAAUCUGUCCGGUGCUGAGGAUCUGUUUGUGCGCAAGUUUAAUCACCUAUUCCAGAGCGCCCAGUACGCCGAAGCAGCAAAGGUAGCCGCCAUCGCGCCGAAAGGAAUUUUGCGCACCCCGCAAACGAUCCAGCAGUUCCAGCAGGUCCCGGCUCAACCGGGCACCAACUCGCCACCUCUGCUGCAGUACUUUGGCAUCCUGCUCGACCAGGGCAAGCUGAACAAGUACGAAUCACUCGAACUGUGCCGGCCGGUAUUGGCACAGGGCCGUAAGCAGCUGUGCGAGAAGUGGCUUAAAGAGGAGAAACUGGAAUGCAGCGAAGAGCUGGGUGAUUUGGUGAAACCGUCCGAUCCGACCCUUGCCCUCUCGAUUUACCUGCGCUCGAACGUGCCGAACAAGGUGAUCCAGUGCUUCGCCGAGACGGGCCAGUUCCAGAAGAUAGUGCUGUACGCGAAAAAGGUAAACUACAGCCCGGAUUACGUGUUCUUGUUGCGCUCGGUGAUGCGCACCAACCCAGAGCAGGGUUCCGGCUUCGCCAGUAUGCUGGUAGCGGACGAGGAACCGCUCGCCGACAUCAAUCAGAUCGUGGACAUUUUCAUGGAGCAGAACAUGGUCCAGCAGUGUACGGCUUUCCUGCUCGAUGCGUUGAAAAACAAUCGCCCUGCCGAGGGAGCGCUGCAAACGCGUCUGCUCGAGAUGAACCUCAUGUCGGCACCGCAGGUCGCUGAUGCAAUCCUCGGGAACGCCAUGUUCACGCACUACGAUCGCGCCCACAUUGCUCAGCUGUGCGAGAAGGCCGGUCUGCUGCAGCGUGCCCUGGAACACUACACCGAUCUGUACGAUAUUAAGCGGGCAGUCGUCCACACGCAGCUCUUGAACGGUGACUGGUUGGUCGGAUUCUUCGGUACACUCUCCGUGGAAGAUUCGCUCGAGUGUCUGAAAGCGAUGCUGACGGCGAACAUACGGCAAAAUUUGCAGAUUUGCGUCCAGAUCGCGACCAAGUACCAUGAGCAGCUGACGACGAAGGCACUGAUCGAUCUGUUCGAAAGCUUCAAGAGCUACGAGGGACUGUUUUACUUCCUUGGAUCGAUCGUUAACUUUAGCCAGGAUCCGGAAGUUCACUUCAAGUACAUCCAGGCCGCGUGUAAGACCAAUCAGAUUAAGGAGGUUGAGCGGAUCUGCCGCGAGUCGAACUGCUACAAUGCGGAGCGCGUGAAGAACUUCCUGAAGGAGGCAAAGCUAACCGAUCAGCUACCGUUGAUCAUCGUUUGCGAUCGGUUCGACUUUGUGCACGAUCUCGUGCUGUACCUGUACCGUAACAGCCUGCAGAAGUACAUUGAGAUCUACGUGCAAAAGGUGAACCCCUCGCGGUUGCCGGUCGUUGUCGGUGGUCUGCUCGACGUCGACUGCUCUGAGGACAUCAUCAAGAAUUUGAUCCUCGUAGUGAAGGGCCAGUUCUCGACGGACGAGCUGGUUGAGGAGGUGGAGAAGCGCAAUCGCUUGAAGCUGCUCCUUCCGUGGCUGGAGUCGCGUGUGCACGAAGGUUGCGUCGAGCCGGCGACCCACAACGCGCUGGCAAAGAUCUACAUCGAUUCGAACAACAAUCCGGAACGAUUCCUGAAAGAAAACCAGUUCUACGACAGUCGCGUCGUGGGGCGCUACUGCGAGAAGCGUGAUCCGCACCUGGCGUGCGUUGCGUACGAACGUGGCCAGUGCGAUCGCGAGUUGAUCGCCGUUUGCAACGAGAACUCACUGUUCAAAUCCGAAGCACGCUACCUGGUGCGUAGACGCGAUGCCGAGCUGUGGGCCGAAGUGCUGUCCGAAGCCAAUCCCUACAAGCGCCAGCUGAUCGAUCAGGUCGUACAAACGGCCCUCUCGGAGACGCAGGAUCCGGACGAUAUCUCGGUCACCGUGAAAGCUUUCAUGACCGCCGAUUUGCCGAACGAGUUGAUUGAGUUGCUCGAGAAGAUUGUGCUCGAUUCGUCCGUUUUCUCCGACCACCGCAACCUGCAGAAUCUGCUCAUCCUGACGGCCAUCAAGGCGGACAGGACGCGCGUGAUGGAUUACAUCAACCGCUUGGACAACUACGAUGCGCCGGACAUUGCGAACAUUGCAAUCAACAACGAGCUGUACGAGGAAGCGUUCGCGAUCUUCAAAAAGUUCGAUGUCAACACGUCCGCGAUCCAGGUGCUGAUCGAGCAGGUGAACAACCUGGAGCGGGCGAACGAGUUUGCGGAGCGGUGCAACGAACCGGCAGUCUGGUCACAGUUGGCCCGCGCCCAGCUGCAGCAGGGCCUGGUGAAGGAGGCGAUCGAUAGCUACAUCAAGGCCGACGAUCCGUCGGCGUACAUCGACGUCGUGGAAACGGCCAGCCGUAACGACUCGUGGGAAGACCUGGUGCGCUACCUACAGAUGGCCCGUAAGAAGGCACGCGAAAGCUACAUCGAGAGUGAGUUGAUUUAUGCGUACGCACGCACGGGCCGCUUGGCCGAUUUGGAGGAGUUCGUUUCCGGACCGAACCACGCCGACAUUCAGAAGAUCGGCGACCGCUGCUUUAACGAUCGCAUGUACGAGGCUGCCAAGCUGCUGUACAACAACGUGAGCAACUUUGCCCGUCUCGCCAUCACGCUGGUGCACCUGCGCGAGUUCCAGGGUGCGGUGGAUGGAGCGCGGAAGGCUAACUCGACUCGCACCUGGAAGGAAGUGUGCUUCGCAUGUGUCGAUGCGGAAGAGUUCCGUUUGGCGCAGAUGUGUGGACUGCACAUCGUGGUGCACGCGGACGAGCUGGAGGAUCUGAUCAACUACUAUCAGGAUCGAGGGUACUUCGAGGAGCUGAUUGGGUUGCUGGAAGCGGCGCUGGGGCUGGAGCGCGCCCACAUGGGCAUGUUCACGGAGCUGGCGAUCCUAUACUCGAAGUACAAACCGGCCAAGAUGCGCGAGCACCUCGAGCUGUUCUGGUCGCGCGUCAACAUCCCGAAGGUGCUGCGAGCGGCCGAGCAAGCCCACCUCUGGUCCGAGCUGGUCUUCCUGUACGACAAGUACGAGGAGUACGACAACGCUGUGCUGGCCAUGAUGGCCCACCCGUCGGAAGCGUGGCGCGAGGGACACUUUAAGGACAUCAUCACGAAGGUGGCCAACAUCGAACUGUACUACAAGGCGAUCCAGUUCUAUCUCGACUACAAGCCGCUCCUGCUGAACGAUAUGCUGCUGGUGCUGGCGCCGCGCAUGGACCACACACGGGCCGUGAGCUUUUUCACCAAACAGGGCCACCUGCAGCUCGUCAAAACGUAUCUCCGGUCGGUGCAGAGCCUCAACAAUAAGGCUAUCAACGAGGCACUGAAUGGCCUUUUGAUCGACGAAGAGGACUACCAGGGCCUGCGGACGUCGAUAGACGCGUUCGACAACUUUGACAACAUUGCGCUGGCACAGAAGCUCGAGAAGCAUGAGCUGACCGAGUUCCGUCGCAUCGCUGCCUAUCUUUACAAAGGAAACAAUCGCUGGAAACAGAGUGUGGAAUUGUGCAAGAAAGACCGCCUGUUCAAGGACGCGAUGGAGUACGCCGCGGAAUCGCACCAGGGCGAGCUGGCGGAGGAGCUGCUCGGAUGGUUCCUGGAGCGUGGCGCCUACGACUGCUUUGCGGCUUGUCUAUUCCAGUGUUAUGACUUGCUGCGGCCCGACGUUAUACUAGAACUCGCAUGGCGCCACAAUAUAAUGGACUUUGCAAUGCCCUACAUCAUUCAGGUCACGAGAGAGUACACCUCGAAGGUGGACAAACUCGAAGCGUCCGACGCGGAGCGGCAGAAGGAGGGCGACAGCACCGAGCACAAGUCGAUCAUUAUGCCCGAACCGCAGCUGAUGCUGACGGCCGGCCCCGGUAUCGGCAUGCCACAGUACGCCCCCCAAUACGCCGGUGCAUACGUACCACCGCAACCAAAUAUGACCCCAUACCAGUACGGUGGUAUGUAAACGAGAUAAUACCCCGAAUGCUAUAGAUAGUGAGCGAGAGAGAGACGAAGAGAGAGUGAAGGAAGGAACGAGGAAAGAAGGAAGAAAAAAUCACGUAACCCCGACGAUGCCAGCAAACGGGCGAGAUAGCAAAAACAUUUUGACCACCUCUUUCGAAACCCAUCUCUUCCGGUAUCCGAUACGGGGAGCGUUGGCAUAGUACGCAUCGAUUGAAACGACGGAACACAAACAACACCAUCACCACGGCGGCCACAUCAGCAGAGCCACACUCUACUCACAUGGCCACAGCGUGUAGUGUGUAGGAAUCAUCCACCCGAUCGUGUCAUCUAAUACAUCUAAUCACUCUGAUUCUCAAGAAGAUCUUUGUUUGAUUUUAUUCAGCCAACAAACACUAUCUAUCUACCUACCUCCUGUUCUGUAUAUCAGAAACCGCUAAUAAUUACGUACGUUAGUUAACCGUCCGCACCACCGGUCCUCGAAUUUGGCAAUGCUCUUCUUUUUCCUACAAAACUCUGUUCCGAGCUAUCGUCGUCGUCCUUCUGUGCUGGGUGUACUUUCGUGUUUUUUCGCACUCCUUUCCUCGUGUGCGUAUGUGUGUGUUUGUGUGGUGCCUGCGGCUGCAAUACGAAUCAUCAUCAGCAUUUAGUUAAUUCACGCCCAAAUGAGGUUUUAAUUAAUAGCGCCCAACAAAUCGGCGAUCGAUUCGAAAUCCAACUCAUUAUUAAUGUCGCAGAAGCGCGAAUCGUAGGCAUAUUAGGGCACAGUAGGCCAAACGUGCGCACACCAGGUGCGAAUUCGUUUUUUUGUGGUUCCGUGUCAACGGCGGCAGGCACAGUAACGCACGGGAUAGAGGCGCGAUUGUUGGUCGCUACCAAGGGGAACAAAAGCAAAGAACUCACGAAACGGUUGUUCUCGUUAGCCAAACACUAAAAUAGCGCAACUCGUGAAUGAUUCGAACAAUGUUAUCAUUUCUCUUGCUGUUCUCUAAGAAAAUGAAAAAAUAGAUGCAAAUGAAAAGAUUAUAUAAUUAUAUAAUAUAUAUAGAAAUACAUUCUCACACACACCCACAAAUAUACAUAUGGAGCACUAUACAUGCACGAGGAGGCGAAACAAUAGACGGGGACGAUGAGCGUCAUGUGUAAAUAGAUGGGAGAUUAAAUACUUUAACAGCGCCAACACCUUGUUAUCGGUAGUGAUGAAUUUGUUCUGCAAAAAAAUCAACGGAACCCCCCAGAGAAAGCUCCUAUCACACGGAAGUAACCACAAAGCAUACAAACCAGGCAUCCAGGCAGAAUUAAGUCGCCACUUGGCCGUCAUGUUAUAUAGACUUUCACUUCCAGUGGGAGAGCCAGAUGCUUGUUUUAAACACAAACUAUAGCGAAAUUGAUGGCCCGUAAAAAUUAUCACGACACACAUACUCGCGUGUCGAGUAGGAAGCAGCUUGCACUGGAUGUCGCGCAAGAUGAUCAGAAGAUAUAUUCGAUCUCCGAACGAAAAGCUAUCCCAAACUGAUCGCCCGGCAAACGUGCCUCGAUUGAACAGCUACAUUCAUCAUCUCUCACUCUACUGUGGCGGGGCAUUUGAGUUAAUUUGGCUUUUCGCACAUGCACCUUUCUGGACACACGAAACACAACAAAACCAUUCCCGCGAAGCGCUUGCUUCUCGCCCACACUUUCUUCCAACUAUGUUAUGUAGUGUAGUGAUGAUUCGUGCAAAGUUAUACAAAAUAGAGUAAAAGUAUUACGCUGGAGGAGGGAUUGACACAAGAUAUGAUGCAUAGGGAGUUGUGUUUGUUUUCAACAAAAUUCGCGCACAUGGGGCAUGUAGAGAUGAGUAACUGCUCGGGCGCGUGCGUGGACUUUCUUUGGCUUGUUAUUUAAGCAACGGAUGCCGACUAUUCAAAGCUCAGAAAUCGCUACGCAGCCAGUUGCUCCAAAAUACAACCGAAGAGACCAAAUAGUAGAGCGGGCCUGUUUUGUAAAAAGCUGUCUCGAGAGUUUGCUACCGAUGCCUUCUUUUCGUUCCGAUGUCCAGACGCGACAAGUAAACACACCUAACAGUUGUGUCAAUCAAAAUGGUUACCCUUUAUUGGGUCCUCCUAUGAGCGAUAGGAGAGCAAACAAAUUAUUUAUACAAUUAAAAUAAUCAAUCUUUAUUUUUAUAUUGUCAAAAUAUCACAGUUUCCUUUCCCCCAGGUAACGCAAGGAUUGAUCGACGGCGAAUGAUAGUAGUGUGACUCAAAGUAUAAUGAAAGUUUCUGACUUAGUUAAUAAAGAUACGUAUAUCGGAAUACCCUAAAAAAACACUACACCCAUCUCCGAGCGCUACUCUACUAUAUACACGCAAAACCACGAGAAAAGAAUGAAAAAUCAAUAAAACAAACGUUAAUUAACCUGAAUCGAUAUCAUUUAAAGUGAACAAAGUGUAAACACACCUAACGCUAACCGUGAGAUGAAAAUCAAUAAACUC